UUUCUACUCCCUCCGUCUUAAAAUACUUCUGAUAAAAAUGGAUAAAAAGAGAUGUAUCUAAAACUAAAAUACGUCUAGAUACAUUUCCUUUUAUCCAUUUUGAUGACAAGUAUUUCCGGACGGAGGGAGUAUUUG
Molecule: non-coding RNA, 135 nt
Organism: Triticum urartu
Lineage: Eukaryota; Viridiplantae; Streptophyta; Magnoliopsida; Poales; Poaceae
Source: Rfam